CCCUGAGCGGUCCCUUGGACCUCUGUGAGCAACAGUGGACGUGUACACUGUGGUCACGCCAGCAUCGAAUCCAUCGAAGUUACAUGGUUUAUUAAAGUAAUCAAAUUACAGCAUUUACAUUUAUGUUAGACUACUUUUAAUUAACUGCUUUAGCCCACUUACAAUGAAAAUUUUAAAAAAUCUUGUUCAUGACCUGUGUAGUAUGUUAACACUAUUGGAAGUAAAAAUAACUUGAACUCCAAUUUUGAAAGCACAACUUUCUUUUUUUCUUUUUAUAAAGCUCUGACUUGUAUUAUGAGUAUGAGUCUGUGGUCUGGGAGAGAGUCCUGUAACCCUCUCUCUGCAAAAUACAUGUAACACCCGUCCCACAUUCUAUUGAGAGGGGCCCUGGGUUCCUGUUGUUACUUUCCUACUGAUACUCCCUUUUUAAUGCUUAUGAUAUAAACUAUGCAAUAAAACUACAUUAUAUGGAAAUAAACCACACACAAGCAGGUCAAUUAUAAAGUUAACUCCACUUUACACAGCAAAAACUGGAGUGUUAAAAUUUCAGGGUUAAACAUGUUAGAGUUGAUUUCCACUCUCAAAGUGUCAUUUUAACACAUUCUGAUUCAAAUAGUGUUCAGUGUUGGAGUUAUUAAACAGUGUUAUUCAGGUCCAAGCAAAUGAACUCUGAAGAGAGUUAUUUAUCUUGGUAGGCCCCUGGGCUUCUGCCCAGGUAAACCUGUGGAUCAAUUAAUAGUUUGCUCUGCCGGGCUGAUUUUCCAUGUGCUUCUGCUGGUUACACCGUGGUGGAUACCUGCUGUGUUGCUGUUUGGAGUAUUUUACACAAACGUAAAAUGCUGGUCCAGGUUCGAUACUGCCAACAGCAGAAGUAUGUGAAGUUGGAAGAGGUUGAUGGGCGGUUUGAGUUUAUGCAGUUUCAUGAAAAAGUCAUCGAGAGAUUUUGCCUGCCACCUGAUGCAAAAGCAGUGUACAAAGAUGCAACAGGGACAGAAGUUGAUGAAGUGAUUUUCAGUGACCUUAUCAGCCAAGGCACUGUGGUCCUAACAGUUUUCUCAAGUGAUGAAUUUUCUGAUUGCUCCUUGUCUUCUGCAUCUGAUUGUUCUGACUCAAGCUUCAGCUCAAAUGCAAGUACAUCAACUAUACUUCUACAUGAGGGUCCCAGGAAGAAAACAAGAGUUGAGGGUACUGUUGAUGCAGCAUCUGCUAAAAAGUUAAUUGAAGGUGUACUUGGAACCAAUUCAGGUGGUGAAGAGGUUCUCCAGGAAUAUCACACAACACAAACUCUAACAGAUGCUACCAGAAGAAAAAUGGUCAAUAUAAUAGCGGCUCACAUGAUUGAUUGCCAUGGGCACCUCCCCGCCAAAGCUGUUAGAGAACAGUACGCGCUAGGGAUAGUGACAUUGUUCCCAUCCCUGAAAGACCCAUACUCCAAGAAAGGCUAUGUAUAGUCACUAUUAUUGCACUUUGUUUACAUAAUUUUCAUGCUGUGCAUCAUUGGGAUUUGUGUGCGUUGACAUUUAAGUUCUGAAAAUUUUCAGAUUGACAACACAUUAUUUUUGAAUGUAUUUACAUUUCAGGAACACUUCUAUGAUGCUGCAAGCAGCACUGGAUACAUUUCUUGGCGUUUGAAAACGAUACAGAGAAAGACUAGAAGAGGAUCUGCACCACCAAGUAGCUCCACUGGCUUUGCUCAAGAAGGAGGGGGCCCAAAUUCCCAGAGGCCCAUUAAUAUCGACAUGCAGCUUGAUGGAGAUGCUUGCCAGGAGGCCAUCUCUUUGCUGAACCAUACAUCUGACACUUCCUUGAUUUUCCAAAAGAUGAGAGAGACCUUUCAGCAUCGUCAGAAGCUCAUCAAUGAUCCUGACAAAAGUCUUGAUAUC
Molecule: long non-coding RNA, 1883 nt
Organism: Oreochromis aureus
Lineage: Eukaryota; Metazoa; Chordata; Actinopteri; Cichliformes; Cichlidae
Source: Ensembl